Molecule: ribosomal RNA, 528 nt
Filed under: Bifidobacterium breve
Lineage: Bacteria; Bacillati; Actinomycetota; Actinomycetes; Bifidobacteriales; Bifidobacteriaceae
Description: bacterial SSU rRNA
Rfam family: Bacterial small subunit ribosomal RNA
Source: RNAcentral
GGGUGGUAAUGCCGGAUGCUCCAUCACACCGCAUGGUGUGUUGGGAAAGCCUUUGCGGCAUGGGAUGGGGUCGCGUCCUAUCAGCUUGAUGGCGGGGUAACGGCCCACCAUGGCUUCGACGGGUAGCCGGCCUGAGAGGGCGACCGGCCACAUUGGGACUGAGAUACGGCCCAGACUCCUACGGGAGGCAGCAGUGGGGAAUAUUGCACAAUGGGCGCAAGCCUGAUGCAGCGACGCCGCGUGAGGGAUGGAGGCCUUCGGGUUGUAAACCUCUUUUGUUAGGGAGCAAGGCAUUUUGUGUUGAGUGUACCUUUCGAAUAAGCACCGGCUAACUACGUGCCAGCAGCCGCGGUAAUACGUAGGGUGCAAGCGUUAUCCGGAAUUAUUGGGCGUAAAGGGCUCGUAGGCGGUUCGUCGCGUCCGGUGUGAAAGUCCAUCGCUUAACGGUGGAUCCGCGCCGGGUACGGGCGGGCUUGAGUGCGGUAGGGGAGACUGGAAUUCCCGGUGUAACGGUGGAAUGUGUAGAUA